RNAcentral lists this ribosomal RNA (497 nucleotides) under uncultured bacterium. RNAcentral describes it as "partial 16S ribosomal RNA". It matches the Rfam family "Bacterial small subunit ribosomal RNA", at positions 28 to 507 of the family's 1533-position model. The record is from RNAcentral.
GAUGAACGCUGGCGGCGUGCCUAAUACAUGCAAGUCGAGCGAACAGACGAGGAGCUUGCUCCUCUGACGUUAGCGGCGGACGGGUGAGUAACACGUGGAUAGCCUACCUAUAAGACUGGGAUAACUUCGGGAAACCGGAGCUAAUACCGGAUAAUAUAUUGAACCGCAUGGUUCAAUAGUGAAAGACGGUUUUGCUGUCACUUAUAGAUGGAUCCGCGCCGCAUUAGCUAGUUGGUAAGGUAACGGCUUACCUAGGCAACGAUGCGUAGCCGACCGGAUAGGUGGAUGGGCCACAUUGGAACUGAGACACGUUCCAGAGUCCUACGGGAGGCAGCAGUAGGGAAUCUUCCGCAAUGGGCGAAAGCCUGACGGAGCAACGCCGCGUGAGUGAUGAUGGUCUUCGGAUCGUAAAACUCUGUUAUUAGGGAAGAACAAAUGUGUAAGUACCUAUGCACGUCUUGACGGUACCUAAUCAGAAAGCCACGGCUAACUACGUG